Non-coding RNA from Macaca mulatta (Rhesus monkey), 215 nucleotides. Lineage: Eukaryota; Metazoa; Chordata; Mammalia; Primates; Cercopithecidae. The record is from RefSeq and is a predicted model, not a curated record.
GCGGCCACGGGGAGAGCUGCUGCCCGGUGCCUGCCCGCGCGGGGUUAUGCGAGGAAACACAGCCCAUCUGACUCACUGGGAGGGCAGCACCGACCCCCUCGCAGGCUUAUCCUGGAGGCAGACGCGGGGCGCGGGUGCUCCCGGGACCGGACCGAACCUGGGCACUACGGCUGGGGCUGAGUUGAUUUAUAAAUAAAGGCACAUUCGAUCCAAGA